Molecule: ribosomal RNA, 207 nt
Filed under: uncultured bacterium
Lineage: Bacteria
Description: partial 16S ribosomal RNA
Rfam family: Bacterial small subunit ribosomal RNA
Source: RNAcentral
CACGUAGGCGGCUUUUCAAGUCGGAUGUGAAAUCCCUCGGCUUAACCAAGGAAGUGCAUCCGAAACUGGAGAGCUUGAGUAGUUAAGAGGAUCGCGGAAUUCCCGGUGUAGAGGUGAAAUUCGUAGAUAUCGGGAGGAACACCAGUGGCGAAGGCGGCGAUCUGGGAACAUACUGACGCUGAGGUGCGAAAGCGUGGGGAGCAAACA